This 320-nucleotide ribosomal RNA is filed under the name Asarcus longipes. RNAcentral's name for it is "partial small subunit ribosomal RNA". The record is from RNAcentral. Lineage: Eukaryota; Metazoa; Arthropoda; Arachnida; Opiliones; Gonyleptidae.
CCCUAGUAUAUUUUGAUUUAUUAGAUUAGUAUGUUAAUGAAAAUUAAUGAUUUUGGCGGUUAAUUUUUAUUUAGAGGAGCUUGUUUUGGAAUAGAAUUAACUCUUUAUAUUUUAAAAAAUUGUGGUUUAUUCAUCUCCGUUAUUAAAUAAUUUAUUAAAAGAAAAUUGAUUUAUAAUUUCAGGUCAAGAUGUAGCAUUAUUAUAUUAAAAUUAGCUACAUUUUAUAAUAAAUUGGAUUAAGAAAAAUAUAAGUCUUGAGAAACUGAAUUUAAUUGUAAUAUUUAAUUAUAAUAUUAUUAUGAAUAGAAUUAAUUAAUGUA